AGGGCUGUUGCUGACCUUUAAAGGGUUGUGCACGCCUAAGCACUCUUAAACAUCCAUCUCACCCAUUGUGCAUCACCGCGUGGGCCCCCUUUGCAAAGAGGGCUUGCGUUUUUUCACAUAAAACUUGAUACAGUAUAGAAUAUUAUAUUUUGCUAUUAUAUGCAAUUAAUACAACUUUCAACAACGGAUCUCUUGGCUCUCGCAUCGAUGAAGAACGCAGCGAAAUGCGAUACGUAAUGUGAAUUGCAGAAUUCAGUGAAUCAUCGAAUCUUUGAACGCAACUUGCGCCCCUUGGCAUUCCGAGGGGCACACCUGUUUGAGUGUCGUGAAAUCCUCAAAACCUUUUGUUUGAUUGUUUCUGGUCAGGAAAAGGUUUUUGGACUUGGAGGUUUAAUGCUGCUUUUGUCUUGGAAGCAAGCUCCUCUGAAAUAAAUUAGUAGGAUCUGCUUUGCUGAUUCUUAAUGUAAUAAGAUACUUCUACAUUUUGAAUUUGGCAUUGUCUCUUAGAUGCCUGCUUCUAACUGUCUUAUGGACAAUAAUG
Molecule: ribosomal RNA, 541 nt
Filed under: uncultured Russula
Lineage: Eukaryota; Fungi; Basidiomycota; Agaricomycetes; Russulales; Russulaceae
Description: eukaryotic LSU rRNA
Rfam family: 5.8S ribosomal RNA (bases 173-326)
Source: RNAcentral